CGCCGAAUGAUGUUCUCUCCGUAAGAUCAUCAGCUAGAAUGCGGUGUUCGUGCGAGAACUUCUAGACUUUUCGUAAACACGUGGAUCAAGAAAAUUAUUCAACGACACUGGACCGCACAGAACGACUGCCGAUAGAUGCUGCAUUCGAUAUAUCGAGAGGAAGUUGGAAUUUGAAGUCGCGUUCUCUUAUUUAAGUCGAACAGUUUUGAACGUUUGGUGGGGGAGAAGAAGAAAUGUUUACUCAAAGUCGUCAUGCUCAAGCUAGCUUUCCUUAUUUUUCAUAAAUUAGACGCAAAGCUUUACGUUUUCUGUCACCCUCACAUAAAACACACGCGGGAUAUGUUAGUUAUGAUCAAUCUUAAGAAUAAAACGAAAAUAAAUAAGCACAUUUUUACAAAGUACUAAUAACUUUUACGUCAACUAAUUAUAAUUAUAAAAUAUUCUUAAAAAAAAAGUACGAAAAUACAAAGGUCCCACCGAGAUUUGAACUCGGAUCGCUGGAUUCAGAGUCCAGAGUGCUAACCAUUACACCAUGGGACCUUCCCCUGAGGAAGUAAUAGAUAAGGUACAUAUAGAUAAUUACAAAAAGUUUGUGAGAAUUUUCAUGAUUUUGUAAUUUUAAAAAUUGAUACACUAAAUUUGUAAUGUUAUCAAUAACAGGUACCAGUAGUUUUAACACGCCAUAAUGAAAAACGAUAACACAUUUUUGAUGAUAAAUAAAAAUUUAUUUAUUCGAUGCACUUGCAAAUGUUUGUUGAAAAGUAUACUUGUGUGUGCAGACUCGUAUAUAUGUAACAUGUACAAAUGUUUCGUAUAAAGUACACAAAGUACGUGUAUGUGUGCAACUAUACCUGGUGCUACCGCAUCAAGAAUUAGAGAAGGGUAAAACAUAAAAUGGUGCUACGUGCUGUUUUCUUUGUUUUAUCUCGUUGUAAUGAGUAUAACAAUGAAAGUUCUCACAGAUAACGUAUAAUCGCAUAUCGCUUUGUUAUAUAUAAUAAAUUUUCAUACAUAUAUAUAUAUAUUUAUAUAUUUUUUAAAUUUAUGUAUCUCGCGGAAUUCAGUAGGAAUUCUCUCCCUAUAUAUAUAUAAUAUAUGUAUGUAUAUAUAAAUUAUAAUACUAUAUAAAAA
Molecule: long non-coding RNA, 1131 nt
Organism: Ooceraea biroi (clonal raider ant)
Lineage: Eukaryota; Metazoa; Arthropoda; Insecta; Hymenoptera; Formicidae
Source: RefSeq, a predicted model, not a curated record